Schistosoma margrebowiei is the source of this 45-nucleotide non-coding RNA. NCBI's taxonomy places the organism in Eukaryota, Metazoa, Platyhelminthes, Trematoda, Strigeidida, Schistosomatidae. The record is from Rfam.
AUCCAACCGACGAGUCCCAAAUAAGACGAAACUCACGUUUUGGAU